Long non-coding RNA from Aquila chrysaetos chrysaetos, 502 nucleotides. RefSeq lists it as uncharacterized. The transcript is spliced from 3 exons. NCBI's taxonomy places the organism in Eukaryota, Metazoa, Chordata, Aves, Accipitriformes, Accipitridae. The record is from RefSeq and is a predicted model, not a curated record.
CCUAUAAGCAGCGGUACUAAGCGAAUCCCUUUGAGCUCUCCUGGACCGCAGCGGGCUGUGACCAGCAUCUCCCUCUGAGUGGGAUGGGACACCUCUCAGAGCUCGCAAACUUUCCUGUUUGUGAAAAUCGGAGGUCUGUCGCCAAAAACCGACACAGCCUGGGCUGAUUCUCUUUGCAACUUAAGACUUGACCCUUUGCCCGUGGAGACAAACGCUGAAGCAUUCGACGUGAAGAUUUUCACUGACCUCGAGGGGAAUUUUUAACAGGCAGAGAAACCUACCAUUCUGAAAUAUCUACCUUUGAGUAGAGGAGCAUAUACAAGACGUCAGGGUGAAAUAUUAUUCACACCAGCAAGGAACAGACAGCUAUUGGAUGAGACUCUUGAAGGAUAGGGUAUGUGACCCAUGAGAAACUGGAAGAACCUAGGAGUCACAGAGCUCACCCCAACCAAAAUACUUCUCUCUGCUGGAGCGACCAAAGGCCACAUGUAGUGGACAAAAU